AUUGAACGCUGGCGGAAUGCUUUACACAUGCAAGUCGAACGGUAGAGGGGGCAACCCCUCGAGAGUGGCGAACGGGUGAGUAAUAUAUCGGAACGUGCCCAGUCGUGGGGGAUAACGUAGCGAAAGUUACGCUAAUACCGCAUACGAUCUAAGGAUGAAAGCGGGGGAUCGCAAGACCUCGCGCGAUUGGAGCGGCCGAUAUCAGAUUAGGUAGUUGGUGGGGUAAAGGCUCACCAAGCCAACGAUCUGUAGCUGGUCUGAGAGGACGACCAGCCACACUGGAACUGAGACACGGUCCAGACUCCUACGGGAGGCAGCAGUGGGGAAUUUUGGACAAUGGACGCAAGUCUGAUCCAGCCAUUCCGCGUGCAGGAUGAAGGCCCUCGGGUUGUAAACUGCUUUUGUACGGAACGAAAAGGUCUCUCCUAAUACGGGGGGCUCAUGACGGUACCGUAAGAAUAAGCACCGGCUAACUACGUGCCAGCCGCCGCGGUAA
This 496-nucleotide ribosomal RNA is filed under the name uncultured bacterium. RNAcentral's name for it is "partial 16S ribosomal RNA". It matches the Rfam family "Bacterial small subunit ribosomal RNA", at positions 30 to 523 of the family's 1533-position model. The record is from RNAcentral.